RNAcentral lists this unclassified non-coding RNA (370 nucleotides) under Hevea brasiliensis (rubber tree). Lineage: Eukaryota; Viridiplantae; Streptophyta; Magnoliopsida; Malpighiales; Euphorbiaceae. The record is from RNAcentral.
UUUGGAACUAAAGAAGUACUUAAUUGAGAAAAGCCAUAGCCAUCAGAAAAACAAAAUCUCCUCCGACUUGGAGGGAGGAACAGAAACCCAAGAGGCAGGACAGACUCCCUUGAGGCACAGAAACCUUGUUAUUACGCUCGCAUUUGCCAAAUUUCUUAAGGGCUCUGAUAAUUUUGAGCACUAUUGGCAAUUGCUACGAUUUGCCAAUUGAAAUUCCUUUCUUUUCAGUUGGUAUUUGAUACAGAAUCAGACAUGGUUCAUUGCACAUUCUCUGGGUAAAUUUCAUCUAUGGUACCUAAACUUAAAGUAAUGUAACAACACGGUAUUUAAACUUUAAUUUGUAAUAUAAAACCUUCUGAAUUUUAAUUUG